Molecule: ribosomal RNA, 219 nt
Filed under: Escherichia coli
Lineage: Bacteria; Pseudomonadati; Pseudomonadota; Gammaproteobacteria; Enterobacterales; Enterobacteriaceae
Description: partial 16S ribosomal RNA
Rfam family: Bacterial small subunit ribosomal RNA
Source: RNAcentral
UUAAAUUGAAGAGUUUGAUCAUGGCUCAGAUUGAACGCUGGCGGCAGGCCUAACACAUGCAAGUCGAACGGUAACAGGAAACAGCUUGCUGUUUCGCUGACGAGUGGCGGACGGGUGAGUAAUGUCUGGGAAACUGCCUGAUGGAGGGGGAUAACUACUGGAAACGGUAGCUAAUACCGCAUAACGUCGCAAGACCAAAGAGGGGGACCCUCGGGCCUU